Molecule: ribosomal RNA, 576 nt
Filed under: uncultured beta proteobacterium
Lineage: Bacteria; Pseudomonadati; Pseudomonadota; Betaproteobacteria
Description: partial 16S ribosomal RNA
Source: RNAcentral
UUGGGAGCUCUCCCAUAUGGUCGACCUGCAGGCGGCCGCGAAUUCACUAGUGAUUACCGCGGCUGCUGGCACGUAGUUGGCCGGGGCUUCUUCUGCAGGUACCGUCAAUUUCGUCCCUGCUGAAAGCGGUUUACAACCCGAAGGCCUUCAUCCCGCACGCGGCGUCGCUGCGUCAGGCUUGCGCCCAUUGUCCAAUAUUCCCCACUGCUGCCUCCCGUAGGAGUCUGGGCCGUGUCUCAGUCCCAGUGAGGCUGAUCAUCCUCUCAGACCAGCUACUGAUCGUCGCCUUGGUAGGCUUUUACCCCACCAACUAGCUAAUCAGGCAUCGGCCGCUCCUCUCGCGCAAGGCCCUUGCGGGUCCCCUGCUUUCCUCUUACGAGCUCAUGCGGUAUUAGCCAGUCUUUCGACUGGUUAUCCCCCACAAGAGGACACGUUCCGAUGCAUUACUCACCCGUUCGCCGCUCGCCGCCAGGGUUGCCCCCGCGCUGCCGCUCGACUUGCAUGUGUAAGGCAUGCCGCCAGCGUUCAAUCUGAGCCAUGAUCAAACUCUAAUCGAAUUCCCGCGGCCGCCAUGGC